CAGUAGCCGCGGGAAUACGGAGGGUGCAAGCGUUAAUCGGAAUUACUGGGCGUAAAGCGUGCGUAGGCGGUUUGUUAAGUCUGCUGUGAAAUCCCCGGGCUCAACCUGGGAAUGGCAGUGGAUACUGGCAAGCUAGAGUGUGUCAGAGGAUGGUGGAAUUCCCGGUGUAGCGGUGAAAUGCGUAGAGAUCGGGAGGAACAUCAGUGGCGAAGGCGGCCAUCUGGGACAACACUGACGCUGAGGCACGAAAGCGUGGGGAGCAAACAGGAUUAGAUACCCCCGUAGUCCCUGUCUCUUAUAC
RNAcentral lists this ribosomal RNA (301 nucleotides) under uncultured bacterium. RNAcentral's name for it is "partial 16S ribosomal RNA". It matches the Rfam family "Bacterial small subunit ribosomal RNA", at positions 509 to 807 of the family's 1533-position model. The record is from RNAcentral.